This 656-nucleotide transfer RNA is filed under the name uncultured cyanobacterium. RNAcentral describes it as "partial miscellaneous RNA". The stretch from base 263 to 335 matches the Rfam family "tRNA". Lineage: Bacteria; Bacillati; Cyanobacteriota. The record is from RNAcentral.
CAGGGAGACAACAAUUGAUUAUGAUGUCUAAAUUUUAAGUUUUAGGCCGUAAUCCUGUCACCUUAGGUCGAUCGGUACCUCAGAGUAAUUUCUAAAAGAAAGAUGAGUAAUCUAUUUAAUUUUAGUUUUUAUUUUCAGUUUCUAAACUUGUCUAGGUCACACCCAACAAAUAUUCUCCUGGGCUAUUAGCUCAGGCGGUUAGAGCGCACCCCUGAUAAGGGUGAGGUCCCUGGUUCAAGUCCAGGAUGGCCCAUUCGUUGUUGGGGGUAUAGCUCAGUUGGUAGAGCGCCUGCUUUGCAAGCAGGAUGUCAGCGGUUCGAGUCCGCUUACCUCCACUGAUCAACUGCCUGAUAACUCAAAUAGGAGAUUAUUGUUUGGUUAAUGUGAUUUAGAGUUGUUCGUUGAAUGAACCUAGCUUCCUAUCAUUCCUUUUUAUGGCCGAUAAGACGCUGGGCUCAACUAAUAUUCUUUUGAUUAUUAGUUUGAUUCAGCAGAACCUUGACAACUGCAUAUGAAAAGUCUGGAAAGAAUAAAGCAUCUCAUAGAUGCAUUGAAAUCUGGUUAUUGAGUUUUACUUAAUUACUUUAGGUUUUGAUGUUUAAUUCUUGAGUUAGAGCAUAAUUACUAGCAUUUUAAAUGUCUUGGUGAUUAUUAAU